GAUGAACGCUGGCGGUGUGCCUAAUACAUGCAAGUCGUACGCAUUCUCGUUUCUGAUUGACGGUGCUUGCACCUAAUUGACGAGACAUUGGAAUGAGUGGCGGACGGGUGAGUAACACGUGGGUAACCUGCCCAGAAGCGGGGGAUAACAUUUGGAAACAGAUGCUAAUACCGCAUAAAAGUCAAAACCACAUGGUUUUGAUUUAAAAGAUGGCCUUUGUGCUAUCACUUCGGGAUGGACCCGCGGCGUAUUAGCUAGUUGGUAAGGUAAUGGCUUACCAAGGCAAUGAUACGUAGCCGAACUGAGAGGUUGAUCGGCCACAAUGGGACUGAGACACGGCCCAUACUCCUACGGGAGGCAGCAGUAGGGAAUCUUCCACAAUGGGCGCAAGCCUGAUGGAGCAACACCGCGUGAGUGAAGAAGGGUUUCGGCUCGUAAAACUCUGUUGUUAAAGAAGAACGUACCCAAGAGUAACUGCUUAGGUAGUGACGGUACUUAACCAGAAAGCCACGGCUAACUACGUGCCAGCCGCCGCGGUAA
This 540-nucleotide ribosomal RNA is filed under the name uncultured bacterium. Its description in RNAcentral is "partial 16S ribosomal RNA". It matches the Rfam family "Bacterial small subunit ribosomal RNA", at positions 28 to 523 of the family's 1533-position model. The record is from RNAcentral.